GGAUCCAAGCGCUAUCCGGAUUUAUUGGGUUUAAAGGGUGCGUAGGCGGCUUUUUAAGUCAGGGGUGAAAGACGUUAGCUCAACUAACGCAGUGCCCUUGAUACUGAAGAGCUUGAAUGAACUAGAGGUAGGCGGAAUGUGACAAGUAGCGGUGAAAUGCAUAGAUAUGUCACAGAACACCGAUUGCGAAGGCAGCUUACUAUGGUUUAAUUGACGCUGAGGCACGAAAGCGUGGGGAUCAAACAGGAUUAGAUACCCUGGUAGUCCACGCCCUAAACGAUGAAUACUCGCUGUUAGCGAUACACAGUUAGCGGCUAAGCGAAAGCGUUAAGUAUUCCACCUGGGGAGUACGGUCGCAAGAUUGAAACUCAAAGGAAUUGACGGGGGCCCGCACAAGCGGAGGAGCAUGUGGUUUAAUUCGAUGAUACGCGAGGAACCUUACCCGGGCUUGAAAGUUAGUGAAUGGAUUAGAGAUAGUCAAGUCCGCAAGGACACGAAACUAGGUGCUGCAUGGCUGUCGUCAGCUCGUGCCGUGAGGUGUUGGGUUAAGUCCCGCAACGAGCGCAACCCCUAUGUUUAGUUGCCAGCACGUCAAGGUGGGGACUCUAAACAGACUGCCUGUGCAAACAGAGAGGAAGGAGGGGACGACGUCAAGUCAUCAUGGCCCUUACGUCCGGGGCUACACACGUGCUACAAUGGAUGGUACAGAGGGCAGCAAGCUGGCAACAGCAAGCCAAUCUCCAAAAGCCAUUCACAGUUCGGAUAGAGGUCUGCAGCUCGACCUCUUGAAGUUGGAUUCGCUAGUAAUCGCAUAUCAGCAAUGAUGCGGUGAAUACGUUCCCGGGCCUGUACACACCGCUCGUCAGCCAUGGAAGUGGGGUACCUAAAG
Molecule: ribosomal RNA, 889 nt
Filed under: uncultured bacterium
Lineage: Bacteria
Description: bacterial SSU rRNA
Rfam family: Bacterial small subunit ribosomal RNA
Source: RNAcentral